GAUGGCGGCUCCGGCCGCCAUGGAGCUGCCCAGCUUCCGGCCCGCCGCCCCGAGGGCGGUACGGCUUGAGAGGAGCCCGCGCUGAAGGACGAGUUCCUCUCACCGAGGUGACCUCUGCACGUCGCGUAUACGCGAGGCUGUUAUGGAAUUUGGUGCUAACGUUCCAGAAAGCAAUUUCCGAACGUGAAGACAGCAACCUAAUAGAGCUGUGGUCUUCACAUUCAGAAGGAAUACUCAUCCUCCAAGCGAAGGUGCUUGGUGCUUCAGAAGUCAAGGCAGAAGAAUCAUUAUACAACGUGCCAGGGAAAUUCACUUUCAUGUUACUCCUUUGGAAGCUUCAUCCCCUGCUGCUUGUUCAUUGCAGCUUGCUCACUUGUUUUCAGCAGCACACCAGCUUAUAAAGCCAAAGAGGAGGCAGUCACCACUUCCUACCUCUGCAGCGGAAAUGCCAAAUCACAGCCUGAAGCAGUGAUUGAGCACCUGGUGGGAAGGCAGGGCCAACCUGGGGGAGCUCAGGUGCAUGCAGUGGACCUGAAUGACCAGAAGGGGUGGAGCCAGGAUCCACUCCUUCCCAGUCCUUAUUUAAGGAUUGGCAUUGAAAGCAAGGGUGUCUUGCUGGAAAUUCCCACCUGCUUGAGGCUUUCUAAAGUUGUCUAUGUCUGCAAUAUCCGAGGGGGGAGGUGUCUCCGACUGCUGCUGCCCAUCGAUUAUUGGAGAGUCCGAGAUCUGCUGCAGCUCGCUGUCACUAAUCAUCCCAGCUUCAGGCACUUCCAUAGCAUCCUUUUCAGCUGUGUUGUUACAGAGCGACAAAGAAACAUUACUUUCUCCCUGCUGGCUAGACGUGAAGGGAACUCCCGUGUGGAUCUGCAAGUGUUCGCGCAAGCUGCUUCGUAAAUUGAACCGGCGACCACAGAGGUGGCAGGCAUAAUACUUUGGGAAGCUUCCAUUCCUUUUCAUAAUGCUCGGCUUGACGUGUGCUAUCGUGAGUGAAGCAGGCUGUUCAUCUGAAGAAGAUGCUUCCAUGUUGGCUUCCUCUCCCGCAGGUGAAUUAUUACCAGCAGCAGAUACCAAUUCUGGAGAUAAAGAUGAUGGCAAUUGGUCGGAAGUGGCCAUAUUUGUCCUGCUCACUUGUGGCAGAGUUGUAGGUAACUGUGAGAGCUGCGAGCCUUCUGAAACUGGUUCUUGGGUCAUCCUGGAAGUCUGUGGCCUUGGUUCUCGCCCGAGUUUGUCAGCUGCCGAUGUAACCUUAGCGGGAUGUCUGAUCUGGUGAUCUGCAAUCUGAAUGCCAUAUAAUGAAGAUGCUAAUGGAAAAACUUGAUCUGGGUGAGAAAAAGUUCCCUGACUUGCAAGGCUGGCCUCCUGAAUUAGUGGAUAUGCAUGCAGAAACUUUAUUCCCUGCUCUAGUCGAACUGGGUCAAUGAGCUGUGGUGCCAUCUUGCCAGUGUACAUCAAAUGCAAGAGAUAACUGAAGAUAUCUGGCUGUAUGUCGGUUGCUUUCAAACGGACACAUUCACUGGAAAGUGAAACAAAAUGAUCAAUAACAGAUUGGGAAAAUGCUUUCAAUCAGAUUUAAGUUAUUCAAACAUUGGUAAAAAUCAGAACUGUGUACUUAAAUUCAGAAGACAAACUCUGUAAUAAAUGAAGAGAAAUGCUUGGCCAUUUGCAAGAUGACUUUUUUCCCUCAGCAAAUAACUGCCUAGAAAGAUUGUCCCACUGCAAACUGCACCCUUCUCAAUGGCUGCUAUGUGACAGAUCUGUUGACACAUACUGAUAUAUUUCAUAAAUUGCAAAGACAUUUUUCCUCUAUUUUGUGCUUAAAUACAUCUGCAGCCAAAUUAAAACCUCCCAGCACUGUGUCUGAA
Long non-coding RNA from Lagopus leucura (white-tailed ptarmigan), 1862 nucleotides. RefSeq lists it as uncharacterized. NCBI's taxonomy places the organism in Eukaryota, Metazoa, Chordata, Aves, Galliformes, Phasianidae. The record is from RefSeq and is a predicted model, not a curated record. The transcript has 3 exons.